AAGUGACCAAUGUCCAGCGUCUUACCUGUUCAAUAUUUAGACUGACCAAACCCAUAGCUCUAAUACUGUCAGGUAAUGACGCUGGAUAGUCUUGUCAUUG
RNAcentral lists this microRNA precursor (100 nucleotides) under Caenorhabditis briggsae. Its description in RNAcentral is "microRNA cbr-mir-236 precursor". Its record names the gene cbr-mir-236. The stretch from base 12 to 87 matches the Rfam family "mir-236 microRNA precursor family". The record is from miRBase by way of RNAcentral. Lineage: Eukaryota; Metazoa; Nematoda; Chromadorea; Rhabditida; Rhabditidae.